UAACCUGCCCAAGAGAUCGGGAUAACACCUGGAAACAGAUGCUAAUACCGGAUAACAACAGAUGAUGCCUAUCAACUGUUUAAAAGAUGGUUCUGCUAUCACUNUUGGAUGGACCUGCGGUGCAUUAGCUAGUUGGUAGGGUAACGGCCUACCAAGGCGAUGAUGCAUAGCCGAGUUGAGAGACUGAUCGGCCACAUUGGGACUGAGACACGGCCCAAACUCCUACGGGAGGCAGCAGCC
Molecule: ribosomal RNA, 240 nt
Filed under: uncultured Lactobacillus sp.
Lineage: Bacteria; Bacillati; Bacillota; Bacilli; Lactobacillales; Lactobacillaceae
Description: partial 16S ribosomal RNA
Rfam family: Bacterial small subunit ribosomal RNA
Source: RNAcentral